RNAcentral lists this ribosomal RNA (447 nucleotides) under uncultured bacterium. Its description in RNAcentral is "bacterial SSU rRNA". It matches the Rfam family "Bacterial small subunit ribosomal RNA", at positions 355 to 825 of the family's 1533-position model. The record is from RNAcentral.
UGGGGAAUAUUGGACAAUGGGCGCAAGCCUGAUCCAGCCAUGCCGCGUGAGUGAUGAAGGCCCUAGGGUUGUAAAGCUCUUUCACCGGUGAAGAUAAUGACGGUAACCGGAGAAGAAGCCCCGGCUAACUUCGUGCCAGCAGCCGCGGUAAUACGAAGGGGGCUAGCGUUGUUCGGAUUUACUGGGCGUAAAGCGCACGUAGGCGGACUUUUAAGUCAGGGGUGAAAUCCCGGGGCUCAACCCCGGAACUGCCUUUGAUACUGGAAGUCUUGAGUAUGGUAGAGGUGAGUGGAAUUCCGAGUGUAGAGGUGAAAUUCGUAGAUAUUCGGAGGAACACCAGUGGCGAAGGCGGCUCACUGGACCAUUACUGACGCUGAGGUGCGAAAGCGUGGGGAGCAAACAGGAUUAGAUACCCCCGUAGUCCCUGAGCGGGCUGGCAAGGCGCAU